RNAcentral lists this ribosomal RNA (497 nucleotides) under uncultured bacterium. RNAcentral's name for it is "partial 16S ribosomal RNA". It matches the Rfam family "Bacterial small subunit ribosomal RNA", at positions 28 to 507 of the family's 1533-position model. The record is from RNAcentral.
GAUGAACGCUGGCGGCGUGCCUAAUACAUGCAAGUCGAGCGAACGGACGAGAAGCUUGCUUCUCUGAUGUUAGCGGCGGACGGGUGAGUAACACGUGGAUAACCUACCUAUAAGACUGGGAUAACUUCGGGAAACCGGAGCUAAUACCGGAUAAUAUUUUGAACCGCAUGGUUCAAAAGUGAAAGACGGUCUUGCUGUCACUUAUAGAUGGAUCCGCGCUGCAUUAGCUAGUUGGUAAGGUAACGGCUUACCAAGGCAACGAUGCAUGGCCGACCUGAGAGGGUGAUCGGCCACACUGGGACUGAGACACGGUCCAGACUCCUACGGGAGGCAGCAGUAGGGAAUCUUCCGCAAUGGGCGAAAGCCUGACGGAGCAACGCCGCGUGAGUGAUGAAGGUCUUCGGAUCGUAAAACUCUGUUAUUAGGGAAGAACAUAUGUGUAAGUAACUGUGCACAUCUUGACGGUACCUAAUCAGAAAGCCACGGCUAACUACGUG